UGUUAAAACUUAAAAGUGCUAUAAGAUCUAUUUUCAUGAAACGGCGCAGUUUCAGCACUCUUCGAAGUUCGAAUAUGAAAAACUUCCAGAUCCAGCCGCGCACUUCACCACACAUCUUUUCCACCGCCAGAACUCGCACAGCCCUAGAGGGAGAGGGAGAGGGAGAGGGAAGAAGAAGAAGCGAGGCUUUCGCGGCUAAGCUAGAUCGAUGGAGACUGCAUCUCCAAGGAGUUUCUGAGUUCAGGAAUCUCUGUUUUCAGUCCAGAGCAAGACUCGCUGCCAACGACGAGAGGAGAGAACUCGCACAACUCUAGAGGGAGAGGGAGAGAGAAGAAGAAGCGAGGCUUUCGCGGAUAAGCUAGGUCGAUGGAGACUGCAUCUCCAAGGAGUUUCCAAGUUCAGGAAUCUCUGAUAUCAGUCUAGAGCAAGACUCGCUACGAACGACGAGAGAAGCGCCACCGAUCAUUUACAAGAUCGCGGCCUCGGAGUACGCUCACGUCUCUGUCACCGAUUUCAAAGUCUAUUUUAUUCGUUCGUCAACGAAGGCGAAACCUUAUCGAUGAUCACAGUUUGAGAUCGUCGAAACUUCUCACACUCGCGCCUCGGUAAACACUUGAAGUAUAUUUUAUUCGUUCGUCAACGAAGGCGAAACAUUAUCGAUGAUCACAGUUUGAGAUCGUCGAAACUUCUCACACUCGCGCCUCGGUAAACACUUGAAGUAUAUUUUAUUCGUUCGUCAACGAAGGCGAAACCUUAUCGAUGGUCACGGUUUGACAUCGUCGAAGCCUCUCACACUCGCGCCUUGGUAAACACUUGAAGAUUUUUUUCUUGUGCUAUGUAUGCUUGAUCAAGUUACUAAGCUUGGUGGCCCGCUUUGUAAUUUCAGAACAUGAUCAAGAGAUUCAAUCUUUCAUGAGGAUAAGUGAGAAGCCAUUGCAUCUUGUGAAUGUACUGGAAAUCUCCAGACGAGGUAGAAAGCAUGGGUGACCAGCAGGCUAUGUUCAUGCUUUUUCCGUAUGUCCCUUUCAUAAUUAGUCUUGCUUGAUCAAAAGCAGAUUGUUCCUCCAAAUUUGUCCCGUGAUUCAUCUGAUGGUGAUAAACAACGAACAAAGGAGCGUGUUUUGCGAAGCUGAAGAUGAAGGAGACACUGGCCGGUCUAUAGCCAGCGAGGCAGAUGCUUGCCCGUGUCUCCUUCAGAACGAAUCUUGUUUUAUCAAUAGAGAGUUCUUCCUCGGUUCAACAAAGGUAAUUUAUGAUAGCUUUAGUAGGUCUGUUCUUUGGUUAUUUUUAUCACAGGAUUCACUGCCUGGGGUGAUAUGGUAAGGUUUUGUGGUUUUCGUUUGUCCGGGAGGUAUUCAGUUAUUCUCCUUGGUAGGUCAGUAAGGCUACUCUUUCGCAGAGUCAGCACAGGAAAAAAACGUCCCGAACUUGAUUUGGGCCUCUUUCAACAGUAUAGUGGGCUGAAAGGCCGAUUUGGUUCAAUUUAUUUGUACCAUUAAACUUCU
Molecule: long non-coding RNA, 1505 nt
Organism: Tripterygium wilfordii
Lineage: Eukaryota; Viridiplantae; Streptophyta; Magnoliopsida; Celastrales; Celastraceae
Exons: 6
Source: RefSeq, a predicted model, not a curated record